AAUGUCGUAACAAGGGUUUUCCGUAGGUGAACCUGCGGAAGGAUCAUUAAAAAUGUGAUUGGUUUAUAUAUUUCAUGUAUCAAGCCGCAUUAACCCAUUCCGAGUACCUUGCCUGUUGCUUCCAUGGGGUCCUGACCUAGGUCACUCUUGUGAUGUGAAACCCAAGAGAGACCCCAUGGGAGGUAAUCAUUAAAUUCAUGUAUCCAAUGUCUUCUGUCUGAACUGUUUAUAACAAUGUUAAAU
Molecule: unclassified non-coding RNA, 243 nt
Filed under: plant metagenome
Description: partial contains small subunit ribosomal RNA and internal transcribed spacer 1
Source: RNAcentral